GAUGAACGCUGGCGGCGUGCCUAAUACAUGCAAGUCGAGCGAACAGACGAGGAGCUUGCUCCUCUGACGUUAGCGGCGGACGGGUGAGUAACACGUGGAUAACCUACCUAUAAGACUGGGAUAACUUCGGGAAACCGGAGCUAAUACCGGAUAAUAUAUUGAACCGCAUGGUUCAAUAGUGAAAGACGGUUUUGCUGUCACUUAUAGAUGGAUCCGCGCCGCAUUAGCUAGUUGGUAAGGUAACGGCUUACCAAGGCAACGAUGCGUAGCCGACCUGAGAGGGUGAUCGGCCACGCUGGAAGUGAGACACGGCCCAGACUCCGACGGGGGGCAGCAGUAGGGAAUCUUCCGCGAUGGGCGAAAGCCUGACGGAGCAACGCCGCGUGAGUGAUGAAGGUCUUCGGAUCGGAAAACUCAGUUAUUAGGGAAGAACAAAUGUGUAAGUAACUAUGCACGUCUUGACGGUACCUAAUCAGAAAGCCACGGCUAACUACGUG
RNAcentral lists this ribosomal RNA (497 nucleotides) under uncultured bacterium. Its description in RNAcentral is "partial 16S ribosomal RNA". It matches the Rfam family "Bacterial small subunit ribosomal RNA", at positions 28 to 507 of the family's 1533-position model. The record is from RNAcentral.